UAAACUGCUUGGGAAACUGAUAGUCUAGAGUGAGGGAGAGGCAGAUGGAAUUGGUGGUGUAGGGGUAAAAUCCGUAGAUAUCACCAAGAAUACCCAUUGCGAAGGCGAUCUGCUGGAACUCAACUGACGCUAAGGCGCGAAAGCGUGGGGAGCAAACAGGAUUAGAUACCCUGGUAGUCCACGCCCUAAACGAUGUACACUAGUUGUUGGGAUGCUAGUCAUCUCAGUAAUGCAGCUAACGCAUUAAGUGUACCGCCUGGGGAGUACGGUCGCAAGAUUAAAACUCAAAGGAAUAGACGGGGACCCGCACAAGCGGUGGAGCAUGUGGUUUAAUUCGAAGAUACGCGAAGAACCUUACCUGGGCUUGAUAUCCUAAGAACCUUAUAGAGAUAUGAGGGUGCUAGCUUGCUAGAACUUAGAGACAGGUGCUGCACGGCUGUCGUCAGCUCGUGUCGUGAGAUGUUGGGUUAAGUCCCGCAACGAGCGCAACCCACGUAUUUAGUUGCUAACGGUUCGGCCGAGCACUCUAAAUAGACUGCCUUCGUAAGGAGGAGGAAGGUGUGGACGACGUCAAGUCAUCAUGGCCCUUAUGCCCAGGGCGACACACGUGCUACAAUGGCAUAUACAAUGAGACGCAAUACCGCGAGGUGGAGCAAAUCUAUAAAAUAUGUCCCAGUUCGGAUUGUUCUCUGCAACUCGAGAGCAUGAAGCCGGAAUCGCUAGUAAUCGUAGAUCAGCCAUGCUACGGUGAAUACGUUCCCGGGUCUUGUACUCACCGCCCGUCACACCAUGGGAGUUGAUUUCACUCGAAGCCGGAAUACUAAA
Molecule: ribosomal RNA, 825 nt
Filed under: Campylobacter jejuni
Lineage: Bacteria; Pseudomonadati; Campylobacterota; Epsilonproteobacteria; Campylobacterales; Campylobacteraceae
Description: bacterial SSU rRNA
Rfam family: Bacterial small subunit ribosomal RNA
Source: RNAcentral